GUGGGGUGAUGGCCUACCAAGGCGACGACGGGUAGCCGGCCUGAGAGGGUGAUCGGCCACAUUGGGACUGAGAUACGGCCCAGACUCCUACGGGAGGCAGCAGUGGGGAAUAUUGCACAAUGGGCGGAAGCCUGAUGCAGCGACGCCGCGUGAGGGAUGACGGCCUUCGGGUUGUAAACCUCUUUCAGCAGGGACGAAGCGUAAGUGACGGUACCUGCAGAAGAAGCACCGGCUAACUACGUGCCAGCAGCCGCGGUAAUACGUAGGGUGCGAGCGUUGUCCGGAAUUACUGGGCGUAAAGAGCUCGUAGGCGGUUUGUCACGUCGUCUGUGAAAUCCUAGGGCUUAACCCUGGACGUGCAGGCGAUACGGGCUGACUUGAGUACUACAGGGGAGACUGGAAUUUCUGGUGUAGCGGUGGAAUGCACAGAUAUCAGGAAGAACACCGAUGGCGAAGGCAGGUCUCUGGGUAGUAACUGACGCUGAGGAGCGAAAGCAUGGGUAGCGAACAGGAUUAGAUACCCUGGUAGUCCAUGCCGUAAACGGUGGGCGCCAGGUGUGGGGUUCCUUCCACGGGCUCCGCGCCGUAGCUAACGCAUUAAGCG
Molecule: ribosomal RNA, 604 nt
Filed under: uncultured Actinomycetes bacterium
Lineage: Bacteria; Bacillati; Actinomycetota; Actinomycetes
Description: bacterial SSU rRNA
Rfam family: Bacterial small subunit ribosomal RNA
Source: RNAcentral